RNAcentral lists this transfer RNA (85 nucleotides) under uncultured Blautia sp. RNAcentral's name for it is "tRNA-Leu(tag)". It matches the Rfam family "tRNA". Rfam says of the family: Transfer RNA (tRNA) molecules are approximately 80 nucleotides in length. Lineage: Bacteria; Bacillati; Bacillota; Clostridia; Lachnospirales; Lachnospiraceae. The record is from RNAcentral.
UGCAGAUGUGGCGGAAUUGGCAGACGCGCCAGAUUUAGGUUCUGGUGUCUAUGACGUGCAGGUUCAACUCCUGUCAUCUGCAUCC